This 73-nucleotide transfer RNA is filed under the name Gimesia sp. Its description in RNAcentral is "tRNA-Lys". It matches the Rfam family "tRNA". Rfam says of the family: Transfer RNA (tRNA) molecules are approximately 80 nucleotides in length. Their secondary structure includes four short double-helical elements and three loops (D, anti-codon, and T loops). Further hydrogen bonds mediate the characteristic L-shaped molecular structure. tRNAs have two regions of fundamental functional importance: the anti-codon, which is responsible for specific mRNA codon recognition, and the 3' end, to which the tRNAs corresponding amino acid is attached (by aminoacyl-tRNA synthetases). tRNAs cope with the degeneracy of the genetic code in two manners: having more than one tRNA (with a specific anti-codon) for a particular amino acid; and 'wobble' base-pairing, i.e. permitting non-standard base-pairing at the 3rd anti-codon position. The record is from RNAcentral. RNAcentral also lists the same sequence under 1 other name. Lineage: Bacteria; Pseudomonadati; Planctomycetota; Planctomycetia; Planctomycetales; Planctomycetaceae.
GCCCUUGUAGCUCAAUCGGCAGAGCAACUGACUCUUAAUCAGUAGGUUAAAGGUUCGAUUCCUUUCGGGGGCA